RNAcentral lists this ribosomal RNA (305 nucleotides) under uncultured bacterium. RNAcentral describes it as "bacterial SSU rRNA". It matches the Rfam family "Bacterial small subunit ribosomal RNA", at positions 333 to 655 of the family's 1533-position model. The record is from RNAcentral.
AGCGUCCUACGGGGGGCAGCAGUAGGGAAUUUUGCGCAAUGGGGGAAACCCUGACGCAGCAACGCCGCGUGAGCGAAGAAGUAUCUCGGUAUGUAAAGCUCUAUCAGCAGGGAAGAAAAUGACGGUACCUGACUAAGAAGCUCCGGCUAAAUACGUGCCAGCAGCCGCGGUAAUACGUAUGGAGCAAGCGUUAUCCGGAUUUACUGGGUGUAAAGGGAGCGCAGGCGGCGCGCCAAGUCUGGUGUGAAACCCCGGGGCUCAACCCCGGGACUGCAUUGGAAACUGGCGGGCUGGAGUGUCGGAGG